Molecule: ribosomal RNA, 1811 nt
Filed under: Triticum aestivum (bread wheat)
Lineage: Eukaryota; Viridiplantae; Streptophyta; Magnoliopsida; Poales; Poaceae
Description: partial small subunit ribosomal RNA
Source: RNAcentral
CGUCACCCGUAGGCAGCAGGUACAACAGCCUCAACUGUCUGUUCUCUGAAUAAAGUGGCGGCGGAGGAAACAAAGAACGACGACACCAGAGGGCACCCGGCAUGCCGUUCCCCACGCGCCUCCCGCCGCCGGCCACCGCGGCGGCCGCUACCGCCGCGGCCGUGCUCGCGGCUGUCGCACUCCGCCGGUACCUCUCCUCCCGCUCCCGCGCAGCCGCGUCCGCUCAUAGCACCAGCGGCGGAGCCCCAGCCGCCACCACGUUCCUCGUGCUCUCCGGCAAGUCCCCCCAGGACCAGCAGCUCCUCGCCUCCGCCGCCGGCGAUCUCUCUCUGGCGGAGGAGUGCGGGGGCGAGCUCGCCGUCUCCCUCGCGCUCGACGCCAGCGGGGACGCGGGCUUCGACGCGGCCGCCUACAUGGGCGCGCUCCAGGCGCGGCGCUUCGGGAGGUGGAUGCUUUGGUCGCCGCGGAUGGCAUCCACGCACGAUAUCGUGACGCAGAACUUCGCCAAACUUCCGGUGGGCGUCGUGUGCGCCACAGACGUGCAGUUCAAAGGCAGAGGAAGAUCAAAGAAUGUGUGGGAAUCACCUCCAGGUUGUCUCAUGUUCUCGUUUACAUCACAGAUGAGUGAUGCCCGCAAGCUUCCCCUUAUGCAAUAUGUCGUUUGCCUUGCCAUGACCGAAGCCAUCAAAGAUUUGUGUUGUGCUAAGGGACUUCCAGAGCUAGAUGUAAGGAUAAAGUGGCCUAAUGAUCUAUAUCUGAAGGGGUUAAAAGUUGGUGGCAUUCUUUGUACCUCAUCAUAUGAGCCGAAAGUCUACAAUAUUUGCACUGGUAUUGGUUUAAAUGUCGACAAUGAAAAGCCUACUACAUGUUUGAAUGCUGCACUCCAAGAACUAAAGGCUAAUUCACCAAGACUUAAACGAGAAGACAUACUAGCAUCAUUCUUCAACAAAUUUGAAGUUCUUUUUGAUAUUUUCUCAAAUCAAGGAUUUCAGGCCCUCGAGGAGCAAUACUACAACUCAUGGCUUCACAGUGGCCAAAGAGUCGUCGUACAGGAUGCGCAUGAAGGCCAGUCUGUGAACAGUGUGGUCACGAUUAAGGGGCUAACACCAAGUGGCUACUUAUAUGCUGUUGGUGAGGACGGCAAGAGCUAUGAGCUGCACCCUGAUGGUAACAGCUUUGAUUUCUUCACAGGAUUGGUGAGGAGAAAGAUAGAUGCAUAGUACGUUGUCAGUAUCUGGGCUCCAGUGUAUACUACGAACACAGGUGUUAUUCUCCAGAGAAAUCAGAGUUAUCUUCUCAUGGCAGCUUACUUAUGAGAAGCUGGUUUCUCAAAAAAAAACUUAUGGGAGCUGGUCUCAUACUAAAACUGUUACAAACUCCGUGCUACUGCACAGACUGCCUGUUCAAAUACAAUGCCAUCAACGGGAUCCCGCGGGGCGAAGAAAACAUGAGCCCUGGCCUGGAGGCUGAAGCACGGGACUUGGCUGAAUCUGAAUUAGCAUGGACCAACAAAUCAGGAGCGAACCGAGUGAAAGAAUUCUAGGAAAAGGGCAGGGUCUCUGAAGACAGUCCUAAGCUAUUCUGUAACUAGCUUAAAACGGUGUGCUCUGUAUGCUUGUAAAAGUAACAUUGAGUGCAGUUUUUGUGGAGGUUGAAAUGAGAGGAGCUGAACUAUGUUCCAGACUGCUGGACUAACCUUUGGUUUGUGCGAAGCUCUUUCUGCUUCCUCUGUUCCACAUCGAGCUUCCAGCACACUGAUUCUUGUUUCCACUUUUUGGGGUUUAUUUAGCACUCAUGAAUUCACUCACCAA